AAAUUGAAGAGUUUGAUCAUGGCUCAGAUUGAACGCUGGCGGCAGGCCUAACACAUGCAAGUCGGGCGGUAGCACAAGAGAGCUUGCUCUCUGGGUGACGAGCGGCGGACGGGUGAGUAAUGUCUGGGAAACUGCCUGAUGGAGGGGGAUAACUACUGGAAACGGUAGCUAAUACCGCAUGACGUC
RNAcentral lists this ribosomal RNA (186 nucleotides) under Dickeya dianthicola. Its description in RNAcentral is "partial 16S ribosomal RNA". It matches the Rfam family "Bacterial small subunit ribosomal RNA", at positions 1 to 180 of the family's 1533-position model. Lineage: Bacteria; Pseudomonadati; Pseudomonadota; Gammaproteobacteria; Enterobacterales; Pectobacteriaceae. The record is from RNAcentral.